Molecule: ribosomal RNA, 301 nt
Filed under: uncultured bacterium
Lineage: Bacteria
Description: partial 16S ribosomal RNA
Rfam family: Bacterial small subunit ribosomal RNA
Source: RNAcentral
CAGUAGCCGCGGUAAUACGUAGGUGGCAAGCGUUGUCCAGAAUUAUUGGGCGUAAAGCGCGCGCAGGCGGAUCAGUUAGUCUGUCUUAAAAGUUCGGGGCUUAACCCCGUGAGGGGAUGGAAACUGCUGAUCUAGAGUAUCGGAGAGGAAAGUGGAAUUCCUAGUGUAGCGGUGAAAUGCGUAGAUAUUAGGAAGAACACCAGUGGCGAAGGCGACUUUCUGGACGAAAACUGACGCUGAGGCGCGAAAGCCAGGGGAGCGAACGGGAUUAGAUACCCCUGUAGUCCCUGUCUCUUAUACA